AAACGAUAGCUAAUACCGCAUAACAGUAGAUAUUGCAUGAUAUCUGCUUGAAAGGUGCAAUUGCAUCACUACCGGAUGGACCUGCGUUGUAUUAGCUAGUUGGUGGGGUAAAGGCUCACCAAGGCCACGAUACAUAGCCGACCUGAGAGGGUGAUCGGCCACACUGGGACUGAGACACGGCCCAG
RNAcentral lists this ribosomal RNA (185 nucleotides) under uncultured Streptococcaceae bacterium. RNAcentral's name for it is "partial 16S ribosomal RNA". It matches the Rfam family "Bacterial small subunit ribosomal RNA", at positions 154 to 334 of the family's 1533-position model. The record is from RNAcentral. Lineage: Bacteria; Bacillati; Bacillota; Bacilli; Lactobacillales; Streptococcaceae.